RNAcentral lists this ribosomal RNA (497 nucleotides) under uncultured bacterium. Its description in RNAcentral is "partial 16S ribosomal RNA". It matches the Rfam family "Bacterial small subunit ribosomal RNA", at positions 28 to 507 of the family's 1533-position model. The record is from RNAcentral.
GAUGAACGCUGGCGGCGUGCCUAAUACAUGCAAGUCGAGCGAACAGACGAGGAGCUUGCUCCUCUGACGUUAGCGGCGGACGGGUGAGUAACACGUGGAUAGCCUACCUAUAAGACUGGGAUAACUUCGGGAAACCGGUGCUAAUACCGGAUAAUAUAUUGAACCGCAUGGUUCAAUAGUGAAAGACGGUUUUGCUGUCACUUAUAGAUGGAUCCGCGCCGCAUUAGCUAGUUGGUAAGGUAACGGCUUACCAAGGCAACGAUGCGUAGCCGACCUGAGAGGGUGAUCGGCCACACUGGAACUGAGACACGGUCCAGACUCCUACGGGAGGCAGCAGUAGGGAAUCUUCCGCAAUGGGCGAAAGCCUGACGGAGCAACGCCGCGUGAGUGAUGAAGGUCUUCGGAUCGUAAAACUCUGUUAUUAGGGAAGAACAAAUGUGUAAGUAACUAUGCACGUCUUGACGGUACCUAAUCAGAAAGCCACGGCUAACUACGUG